This is a long non-coding RNA of Oncorhynchus nerka (sockeye salmon), 4733 nucleotides long. RefSeq lists it as uncharacterized. Lineage: Eukaryota; Metazoa; Chordata; Actinopteri; Salmoniformes; Salmonidae. The transcript has 3 exons. The record is from RefSeq and is a predicted model, not a curated record.
CUCACCUCGGCUGCAGUGAAGGAGAGACCGCAUGUUUUCGUUGCAGGCCGUGUCAGUGGCACUGGGCUGGGUUUCUUCUUGUAGUCUGUGAUUGACUGUAGACCCUGCCACAUGCCUCUUGUGUCUGAGCCGUUGAAUUGAGAUUCUACUUUGUCUCUGUACUGACGCUUAGCUUGUUUAAUAGCCUUGCGGAGGGAAUAGCUGCACUGUUUGUAUUCGGUCAUGUUGCCAGACACCUUGCCCUGAUUAAAAGCAGUGGUUCGCGCUUUCAGUUUCAUGCGAAUGCUGCCAUCAAUCCACGGUUUCUGGUUAGGGAAUGUUUUUAUCGUUGCUAUGGGAACGACAUCUUCAACGCACGUUCUAAUGAACUCGCACACCGAAUCAGCGUAUUCGUCAAUAUUUUUAUCUGACGCAAUACGAAACAUGUCCCAGUCCACGUGAUUGAAGCAGUCUUGGAGUGUGGAGUCAGCUUGGUCUGACCAGCGUUGGACAGACCUCAGCGUGGGAGCCUCUUGCUUAAGUUUCUGCCUGUAGACAGGGAUCAACAAAAUGGAGUCGUGGUCAGCUUUUCCGAAAGGGGGGCGGGGCAGGGCCUUAUAUGCGUCGCGGAAGUUAGAGUAACAAUGAUCCAAGGUUUUACCACCCCUGGUUGCGCAAUCGAUAUGCUGAUAAAAUUUAGGGAGUCUUGUUUUCAGAUUAGCUUUGUUAAAAUCCCCAGCUACAAUGAAUGCAGCCUCCGGAUAAAUGGUUUCCAGUUUGCAAAGAGUUAAAUAAAGUUUGUUCAGAGCCAUCGAUGUGUCUGCUUGGGGGGGAAUAUAUACGGCUGUGAUUAUAAUCGAAGAGAAUUCUCUUGGAAGAUAAUGCGGUCUACAUUUGAUUGUGAGGAAUUCUAAAUCAGGUGAACAGAAGGAUUUGAGUUCCUGUAUGUUUCCUUCAUCACACCAUGUCUCGUUAGUCAUGAGGCAUACGCCCCCGCCACUCUUCUUACCAGAAAGAUGUUUGUUUCUGUCGGCGCGAUGCGUGGAGAAACCCGUUGGCUGCACCGCAUCGGAUAGCGUCUUCCCAGUAAGCCAUGUUUCCGUGAAGCAGAGAACGUUGCAGUCUCUGAUGUCCCUCUGGAAUGCUACCCUUGCUCGGAUUUCAUCAACCUUGUUGUCAAGAGACUGGACAUUGGCAAGAAGAAUGCUGGGGAGUGGUGCGCGAUGUGCCCUUGUCCUGAGUCUGACCAGAAGACCGCUACGUUUCCCUCUUUUUCGGAGUCGUUUUCUUGGGUCGCUGCAUGCGAUCCAUUCCGUUGUCCUGUUUGUAAGGCAGAACACAGGAUCCGCGUCGCAGAAAACAUUAGGGUUGGUAUCGCUGCUGAGGUCAGAGAUCAAUCCAUUUGCGGGUGGAGGUUCACUACUUAGCGGGUAGUGAACCUGGGGACUACCCCCUCUGAUAGCUUGCACAUUAUUAGAACAUUUUGAAAGGAAAAAAUGUUUUUCCUAAUUUUCCAAAGUUUGGUUUUGGAAUAUAUUGGGAGCUGCAAAGACGAUUUUAAUCUAUUUAUAGACUAAUGGUUAAUUAACCAUCAGUACUGGACAGUACUGUGGAAGUUGGACGUGAAUGAAUUUGCAAAAGCAAAUUGAAUUAAUCAAUGAUAAUGAUUAAUCAUACCUGGAUAGGCUAUCUGGGAAUUAAACUUUAAAUUAACCUGGGAAGUUGGUUCAUCUAGGUUACUAUUGCAAAGUUUAAGGUGUCUCAUUUAAUUGGAAGAACCUAGAAAGGUAUGUCCAACAAUUUAAAUAAAUAAAUUGAAUGAGACGAUAAUACCCAAGCAAUUGAGAUUGCUGGAUUAUUUUAACGUGAUCCACGUUUGGAUUUCCAACACUUUUUUAAAAAGAUGUAUUUGCGAUUCUUCACCACCAGUGAUGCUGAAAUCAUUUAAACGGAACACAGGAAGUGAAAAAUGUUCCCUCUCUGUUAGCUUAGCCUCUCGUGCCAGCUAUAUCACGUUCUAAGCACAAAAUAGGGUCUCUUUCACUAUGGAAAGGGUGGGUUUACUAGUGACGUCUCACAUUAACCCAUUCGGCAUACUUUGCUAGCGUUAUGUUGACCAGAGCGACACGGUACAUAAUACGGGUAUGCCUCUAGUCAGUCCACACUGGUUUACUGUGGUAGGCGGACAGAAAUACUUUGGCUCGAAUGCCGAAGAUCUAUCCUCUAAUUUCUAACCUUUCUGGCUCUAGAAGUUAAUAUUGACCGACAGAAAAUAGUACCGUUUGGCCUAACGGACUAAAUCUGGAAUUUAUUACUCAUUGCUCUUACGCUAAAGAAUACUACCGGAGGCGCACUGUAGCCUCUUCAAAAACACAUACAACCAAUUUGAAUGUAUACAAAGCAGUCUGUUCGUACACUUCUGUUUGCACAAUUGAUAUAUAGAAUUCCACAGCAAAGUCUAAUUCUAUAUUAGAUUCCUCGCAACGGGGUGUCAUAAAUGUUGUGUCUUUACUAUCAUUAACUGAAGACUGAUAGUUUUUAUCAAAGAUUCACUGUAAUUAGUUAUUACACGAUCAACUGAUUAAUCACGUAACUAAUUAACUAGGAAUUCGGGGCACCAAGGAAAAAUAUUCAGAUUACAAAUGAUUUUAUCUGAUCAAUUAGUCUUCGAAUGAAUGAUUUACUUUACCUCACGUUAGUCUCAUUCCAAACGUCGUAAAUGGUUGGUUAUCUACACGAACCCAGUCUUCACUAUGAGUCAUCGAUACAUCAAUUGUUUUAAAUCAUUUAUUUAUUACUAACUAAGUAAUUCACAGAAAUGCAUAAACAAACAAACAAACAAGCUAAAUGUAAUGAUAGGAAAAUGCGCCUUAGUCGGCUAAACCGGCACGGCGGCUUGUUAGAAAAAAAGGCGAAGUGGGGGUCGACUAAGAAGUCACUACAAAAUGAUAACUAUAACAAUUGAAAUGCUAAUCCUUUACACAUGAAUGCUCACUCAUUCGGGAACAAUUGCAAUCAAUCAAUAUAUUUACGCUCAGUGUGUCGUCUUGACCACUGGUGAAAAGUUUGUGUGUCUCUCUCUCCCUCUCUGUCUUGGUUAGAGGGGAUAGUUCAAAGUGACAUUCGUUAUAGAAUGGAUGUUUCGGCGGUUGUCGUUCUUCGCGUUCAAUGAUGCCGAAUUCCUAGCUGCAGACUAGUAAUUAAUAUCAAAGACUUGUUCUCAUUCUGUCGGUAUCGAUAGUCUAAGAGUUUAACCACGUGGUAUGGUUAAAAUAUUCAGCAAUGGUCUACAACCUUUGUACUCCCGUGAUUGAGAGAAACAUGGUCUGGUGAUAAUGUUUCAAAGUUGGAUUUUAUUCGGAAUGGCAGAAAUGGGCUGUCCCAGGAUGUCUGACCCUAACUGGGCUCAGAGGCGGUCCUCUGAUUUAGUUCAAAUCCAAUUCCCUUUUUGAGUUUUCCUUCAUUAAACAGUCCAAAAUCACAUUGUAAAAUUGUGUAAACAGUAUCAUACUCACUCAUUCAUCUUGUACAACAAUUAGAUGUAAACCUUAUAUCUGGGGCUAUUAUAUAAACAGCGUUAUGGUAAUGUGGCCACACCGUCUCCCAUGAGCUUCCCAAGUUGUGACAAACGGACCAGUUCGUAGCUGGAUUCUUCACCAAUCUUUUAUACUUUCUCCGGAACAUGACAUUUGUUCAUACCUCAAGUUCUGUGAGGUGGAAGGAUUUCCUUUGUUCUCCAUGAAAAACUAUUCUCUAUAACUAUGUGUCCAUGAGGUCUUCUCAGGAAUUUACGACCUCUGACCACAGCAGCCUAGUUGAAGGAGGCAAGGGGGAGGCAGGGAGAGGGGGAUGGGCUUGCUAUACCCAAAGAGGCCAACGUCAUGACACAGGGAAGGUAGAAAGAAUUGGGAGGGAUGAGUAGACCUAUGUGGUUUCCGGUAUGUCUUUUGCCCACAGCCCUAGAGCCAAUUGAGCUGGCAGCUGAGCAGCCCGCAGCACCAGGGUUAGCCCAAGAAGCAGAUGAGGUAGAGGAGAAACAAGCCCCAGUUAGACGCUCUGCAAAACAAACUAGAGCCCUAUAAAAAGAGACUAUCAGACACACCCGAGGGCUCUUGGAUUUGGGGGUGGAAACCCUGUCGACCGCCUCCUUCCUGGCAGGCAGCCACCACCUGCAGCAGCGCGUCAUCUUCUACAGUCAGUCCGACAGGUCCAGACAACCAACAACUCUGGAAGUCCGACUCUUCUGAUUGUGAUGGGCUUGUCUUCUUUUAUGAAAAGGGAAGUCAAAAUAAUCACACAAGUUGGUGUGAAUGUGAUCCAACGAUUGGUUAAGAGGGUGGUACUGAGGACCCCUGUCUGUAUCCCUGACCUGUACAGAUUGUUCCCUAGACUGGGUGGUGUACUUGUUGGUGAUUUGGAAGGUGACACCGGAGACCGAGAGGGGAUUGAGGCAAGACGUAGGUGAUGAGGCAUCUCUGAAGGACGGAUCCUUCAAAGUGCACCUGAACAGUAUCUGCAUGCAGUGAGGGCUCGAGGAAGCUUGUGACUGGAGAAAAAAACAGGACUGGAGUCUGCCAAAUGAAAUAUUCUCUAGCCGCUCCCAAAUGACUGGACUGAGUUUUUAGUUCCCACACCCCGACAGAUUCGGUCGCAAACCCUGGAACAGCUCAUAAUGGACUAGACUGGGUUCUAUGUUAAAAUAGAUUUUAUUAUAAUAAUUUGUAUUUCAAAUAAACAUUGUAAUUUUCUACUUA